UGCGUCAAAACUUUAUCAAAUUUCAAUUUGAUAAUUUUGAGAUGUAUUUGCAAUAAAGGUGUGAGGUCCCGUCAAGAAUAUAUAAAUUGUUUUCAAUUGCUAACUUUUAGUUUUUUGAAAACUUACGGAUCUGAGAUCUUGGAAAGUCACUUAAAAAUAUUUUUAAUGUGCACUCAAAGUAAUCCUUAAUUUUUUAAGGAGGCUGAACCUAAAUAACUUAAGUCAAUCUUAUUUUUAUUUGGAGAAUGCAAUUCAUAUUGAGUAGAUUUAUCUACAAAAGGAUUUGAACACAACGG
Molecule: ribosomal RNA, 296 nt
Filed under: uncultured Prochlorococcus marinus clone HOT0M-7C8
Lineage: Bacteria; Bacillati; Cyanobacteriota; Cyanophyceae; Synechococcales; Prochlorococcaceae
Description: 16S ribosomal RNA
Source: RNAcentral